Molecule: ribosomal RNA, 102 nt
Filed under: Castor canadensis (American beaver)
Lineage: Eukaryota; Metazoa; Chordata; Mammalia; Rodentia; Castoridae
Source: RNAcentral
GUCUAUGGCCAUACCACUCGGUAUUCACCCAGUCUCAUCUGACCUCAGAAGCUAAACAGAAUCAUGCCUAGUACUUAGAUGGGAGAAAAUUAGUUAUACAAG